CGAACGGGUGAGUAACACGUGAGCAACCUGCCCUAUACAACGGGAUAACACAGAGAAAUUUGUGCUAAUACGGUAUAAGACCACAGUAUCGCAUGAUACAGGGGUAAAAGAUUUAUCGGUAUAGGAUGGGCUCGCGACCCAUUAGCUAGUUGGUGAGGUAACGGCCCACCAAGGCAACGAUGGGUAGCCGACCUGAGAGGGUGAUCGGCCACACUGGGACUGAGACACGGCCCAGACUCCUACGGAAGGCAGCAG
This 255-nucleotide ribosomal RNA is filed under the name uncultured bacterium. Its description in RNAcentral is "partial 16S ribosomal RNA". It matches the Rfam family "Bacterial small subunit ribosomal RNA", at positions 99 to 354 of the family's 1533-position model. The record is from RNAcentral.